CCUAUCAAAAACCUUUCUACAUUCAGAUUCUGGCUUUUCUGAAUCACUUUUCAACUCAGACUUAUCAGUGUCCAUCUAUGUUCCCUCACCUCUAUAUCACCACUUUCUGUCAUGUUCCACAACUAAACACUCAGGGUCACUCCAGGUGAACUGGGCUUCACAAAAUAAUCAUAUAAAAGACAGAGAUACCUUUUUCCUUGGGUCCUGUGAUGGCUUCACUGACCUUAGGGAUCAGAGAGAGAGAGAGAGAGAGAGAGAGAGAGAAACAUGUGCUGUGAACACUUUUAUUGAGGAGAAGCCAUUCAAAUGAGGCAAAGGGUCAGGUUUCAGGGGGCUGAGUCUAGCUUCAUGAUGUCUGCUGUCAGCAGGUUGACUGACAUCUGAGAAGGCCACACCCAAAGGCAGAGCAAGAGAAGGGGACAUACAAAGGGCCUUCCCAUGGAACAUUCUAUCCCAAACAGGCAAAGGGGUAGGAUUACAAAAGAAUAGGUGAGUGUAUUACCUAUAUCACCUAUAGGUGCGGAUUACAAAAGAAUAGGUGACAUGCCUACACCUGAAGACACGCCUUCUACUUCCCAGGGGCUGGGACAACGCCAGCCACAAAAUGUAAUGAUUGGUCAAAGCCUCUUGCUUCAGGACUGGAAAGCGUGGGUCAUUCAGAGUGGCUUCCCACAACUUUUUAUCCUUUGAAGAGCAAUGGAAAUAUAACUAUUUAUUUGUUUGUUUGCUUGUUUAUACAUACCAGGGAUUAAACCCAGGGGCACUUAACCACUAAGCCAUAUCC
Molecule: long non-coding RNA, 784 nt
Filed under: Marmota monax (woodchuck)
Lineage: Eukaryota; Metazoa; Chordata; Mammalia; Rodentia; Sciuridae
Source: RNAcentral